Molecule: ribosomal RNA, 400 nt
Filed under: uncultured bacterium
Lineage: Bacteria
Description: bacterial SSU rRNA
Rfam family: Bacterial small subunit ribosomal RNA
Source: RNAcentral
UGGGGAAUAUUGGACAAUGGGGGCAACCCUGAUCCAGCCAUGCCGCGUGAUUGAAGAAGGCCUUAGGGUUGUAAAGAUCUUUUGGCAGGGAAGAUAAUGACUGUACCUGCAGAAUAAGCCCCGGCUAACUCCGUGCCAGCAGCCGCGGUAAUACGGAGGGGGCUAGCGUUGUUCGGAAUUACUGGGCGUAAAGAGAACGUAGGCGGAUCGUUAAGUCGGAGGUGAAAUCCCAGGGCUCAACCCUGGAACUGCCCUCGAUACUGGCGGUCUUGAGAACGGAAGAGGUGAGUAGAAUGCCGAGUGUAGAGGUGAAAUUCGUAGAUAUUCGGCGGAAUACCAGUGGCGAAGGCGCCUCACUGGUCCGUAUCUGACGCUGAGGUUCGAAAGCGUGGGGAGCAAA